ACACAUCACUUCCUGUUCCUGCGUUGCCUUUCAUGAGUUUCACCUGUGUCUGUUGUCACCUGCUCGUUUCCUCUUGUUCCCUGAGUUAUUUACCCAUCUAUGUUUUUCACUUUCAGCCCAUGUGUGAUAUCUGGAUACCUCUUCCCCGUGUUUCAAAGCCGUCUUCGGACGCUCUCGCCUGGAUCAGAGGAGUUUCUACCGAAUGUCCAAACACGGCGCCUUCGGAGCCUGGCGAUAAAGCGGACUUUUAGAAUUCACGAAAUUUACAAGCUAGUGAACAGGAGUCUUCCUCCAUCUCGACUUCGCACCUCCAGCCUCUGACACUGGGCCUCCACAGCCUCAGGUCCUGCAGAGAGAUUUUUACAGACUGAAACUGCUGGAAUCGAUUUUAAACUCCUACAAACUCUUCUCUGCUCCUCAAAGAUAUAUAUUUAUAUUAUUAUUUUAUAUAUUUAUAUUUUUGCCGUGACAAAAUGUUCAAUAUUUCACGAAUGUUUCCCAGACUUAACCAACUUUUAAAUUUUUAUAAUUCAUCAGCAUUAGAGGACAGAUCUACACCUACAAAGUUUGAUUAAUCUGAACAUUCUAACGUUAAUAGUUGUAAAUGAUGCUGUUUAAAAUAAAAAGUCUGUUUGUGUUUCUGGCCGAGAAAAAUCGGCCUCAGGAAACUCCGUCUGGAAAAGUAAGACUAUUAGUGCUGUGAAAAACUUUUAAGUGUUUGCUCUGCAAAUGAAAAGUGCCCAACAAAGCUGGAUCAGCCAUGCUUUUACUCCAAAUGGAGACAAAUCAGUAAGCUCUUCUACUGCGGAGGAAUAUUAAUUCUUGUUCACAUGACUUUUUCUUUGUGUUUUUCCAGAUGUGCACGCAGUAACUUUAAACUUCUCCCUUUCCUCCUCUCGCGACCAUUAAUCCACAGGCUGUGACGGCUCGGCAACUUAAUUAUUCUCGACCGGGUUUCAUCUCAUUCCAGAUAAAAUGCACUUGCUUCAAAAGCGGGCGCUGCUCAUUUUUGGAGGAAGGCCGAAGCGUGACCGAGACGUGUCACAUCAUCAGUCUCGUCAAAUCAGCGUCAACCCUCAACUUAUGUUGGCUCAGAUCGAUGGCUGUUCAUGUUAAUACGCAGGUCAUCUGCUCUCCAGUGGUCAUUAAUCAUGUAAACGACUGCAGUAAUUUGGUCUGACUGAUGUUUAAACUUAACGAUAAUAGGAAGAAUCCAUUGCCCUUUCAAUAAGUGUAUCAAAGGUUAGCGUGAAAGUCUACAGAGUGUAUUUUACCAGCCAGAGAGGAUUACAGAGAAUUUAAAUUGUUGUGCUACAGUUGAUUCAAGUGGGUAAUAAAUAGGAUUGAUUGGGUCAUUUACAGCCAGGACUGGAUUAAUGUAACAUUUUUAUAGAGGUAAAAAAAGGAGCAAGUAAAUAAACCUGUGUCCCAAAUGA
Long non-coding RNA from Hippoglossus stenolepis (Pacific halibut), 1436 nucleotides. RefSeq lists it as uncharacterized. The record is from RefSeq and is a predicted model, not a curated record. The transcript is spliced from 3 exons. Lineage: Eukaryota; Metazoa; Chordata; Actinopteri; Pleuronectiformes; Pleuronectidae.